UUGGAGGUAUGCCCUGGAGGCAAUCAUAGAGAUGAUGAUAUUCCAUUUGUAUCCAUGAUUUAUAUUGUAUUCAUUGAAUAUCCAUUAAAGGCUACUUGCAAUUGAUUUGCAAUUAUGUGAAUUGUAUGUGAAACUCUUUACUUGUAUGGUUAUUCUAAAGUUGUCCCUAGUCGGAGUUCAUGUGAGGACACACAUGAAUAUUAGACUAGCACAUAUAUUAGUUGAUGACUAUGUUUCAUGAGUCAUGGACAUGGAGAUGUUAAACUAAUAAUGUGGGCACAUGUGGAGACAUGUGCUAGGACUAACUCAACACGAGAAGUAGUUCUCUCUUUACACAAUAUGUAUGCUUUGUCCUUAGACCUGAGAUUGUCGCAUGCACUCAAGAUGUGGAUCGACUUACUUAGGGGCUAUCAAACGCUACACCGUGACAGGGUAGUUAAAAAGGUAGCUUUCGGGUUUGUCAAGAAGCAUGCUAUGAGACAUGGUCAAUCAAGAUGAGAUUUGCCCCUCUCUGAUUAAGAGUGAUAUCUCUGGGCCCCUCGAGUGAUCGGAUCCAAAAAUGCAUGGCCAUGCUACAUACGGUUAAGAGUUAAUCUACAAAGGGAUUCUGAAUCACAGGAUCGAGAAAGAGCGGUCGGCUUGAAGCUAGACCAAAUAUCGUGAGGCAAAGGGAAUAGCAUGUAUAUAAUGUUGUGAUGGUUCGUCUGAUAUGAUCUUCGUGUGCGUAUAGGAGUUGGCACGUCUUGCUAGAGGCCGCUACCAACUAUUGGGCCGAGUAGGAGUACUCGAGCCAUGUCUAUACAUAUCCGAACCCAUAGGGUCACACACUUAAGGGGCUGGAAGCCCAAUUCGGAUGUGAUCCGAGUUGGAUUAGGUUUAGAAGUACUAAUGGGCCUCGGACCCAGAGGCCCGUUAGGAACCUCUAUAAAUAGCGAGGUGGGGCGCCCUAGGGUUUACACCUUUUGGCAAAACAAAUCUGCCGCGCCUCCCACGCCCUCGCCUGUUGCAACUCGCGGAUCUAGCAGUCCGGCUUACGAUGCUUCCUCCCUGCACGUGUGGAUACCUUGGAGGUGUUGCGCUUGCAGCACUUGGACGAGCCACCGACGAGCCACGACGAGCCGCCGACGAGUCGUUGACGUGAUCGACUAUGUUCAACUACGCUGAUCGACUUCGCUGCCCCGACGCGAUUCUACAUCUUCCGCAUCAGUGCAUCGAGUGGUAAUCCCGUGAUCCAUAUACGGUAGUUUUCCUGGUUUACGCGGUAGAAAUUUUUGAUUUGUGCUACCGUAGCUUACCUCGUAUCCCAACAGUGGUAUCAGAGCUGUAGCUGUUUAGUUUUGGAUUCGGGAUGUGUGCAUAUGGAGAUAUGCGAGUUUUUAGUUUGAUCUAUAUCUUGGUUUCGUGGUUUUGCUGCAAUGGUUGUGUAACGACAUACUCGUACCAGUCGGGUUUCCGCCAUCGGAGUUAAGUGAUACACGUAAUGCCAAUUGCAGUGAGCGAAGAUCAAUGUGAUUGGUCGAAUCGAGAUCCAGGUUCAUACGCCAAGCACAUGAGAUGUGCAAUAGUAGAUUGGAUCUACUACCAGGUCGGGAUUUUGCCGUGUGCGUGUGCUUCGGUAAAUCAGCCGUAACUUUUUGGUACGAUCUCGGAUCGGGGUAAAUUUUAUAUGAAAAUUGAUCUACAGAAAAAGUUACACAUGAAAUUCAAUGGCUUUGCCGUUUUUGGCAAAAUUAGAUUUCUCAAAUUCGGCUAGGAAGAUGGAGUUUCAGGCCUCUGAAGUUUGGAACGUUGGAACGUCUAACUCUGUUUUGCAGGAUGUAUGGAUCUUGUGAUCAGUAUGGCCCGCUUGUGUAUGUGAUGCAUGUGUGUAACUCAUUUGUGACCUGUGUGUCGUACGUACGGCAACACGGCUGGAGCCAUAUGUUUGUCACUUUAGUGUAUUUAAUGGUCUGCGUACCAAUCUGUGAUAAUUCAAGCAACUAUGUAAUCUUCAUUACUAGCUUCUUUACUAGCUAUUAGGCGUAAUAGCAUGUUCUAGUUUUUGGAGGACUCAUUACCAGGAGGAUGGCGCACAUGAAACAUGGAGAUGGAGAUCACCAUGGUGAACAGGUUCUGUGGAGAUGGAGAUCACCAUAAGAAAAUGGGCCAUACUGUGUCACAACUGUGUGAAUGCUAUUCUUUAUGUUUUACUUCCUGCAUGAUGUGAUGUUAGAAGUAGAACAAUCCCUCACAAAGUUUAAGUUAGUAUACCCUCCCAACUAAAACUUGCACCGUCCCAUGUCUUGUACAAUUAUUGGUGGGUCUAUGAAAUUAGGGUGCCACUAGUUUUUCUUGACUAGACGGGUUUGUGUCGAACACUUACACGCAUAAGGGUUGGUUUGCUUAACAAGGUUAUCUUAACGGUUAAGAACCUUGGGGCAUAAAGGUUGGGCGCUGAGACAUGGAGAUGUCACCCAACAACAGGAGUCAUAUGUGAUAUGAUUAGCAAGAAGUUGCUUACCAAUCUACCUUGUUUGCUAGCGGUGAUGCUAAAGCUCACUAGUAGACUUGUGGAUCCUGAAUCACUAAGUAUCAAUAGAGGGAUAUUGAUUUUAGUGGGAGUAGAUUCUGUUAAAUAGUUUAAUGUGAUUUGCUCUAUCAUGGAUACGUUUGUGUUAGUGUAUUUUGCAUUACUUUUGUUGUAGAUUAAAUGGCACCUAACACCACCACACUGUUUGCUUUGCGUUUGGUCCUUGAGAAGGACAAGUUGAAUGGAACAAACUACUCGGAUUGGAUCUGUAACCUGAGAAUUGUUCUCAGGGCCGAUAAAAAGAAAGAUGUUCUAGACACCCCACUACCACCAGUACCUGCUGAUGAUGCAUCUGCUGCCGUUAAGGAUGCUUACAAGAAGGCAUUUGAUGCUAAUCUUGAGGUAAGCUGCCUUAUGCUUGCUUGCAUGGAACCCGACCUUGCAGAUGCAGUUCGAAACAAAUCAUGAGGCACACGAUAUGAUCGUGGGGCUCAAGGACAUGUUCCAGACACAAGCUAGGACUGAAAGAUUUAAUGUGUCCAAAGCCUUUCUGGAGUGCAAGCUAGCAGAAGGCGCAGCAGUAGGACCACAUGUAAUCAAGAUGGUUGGUUACACUCAGCGAUUGAAGAAGCUGGGCUUCCCAAUGGGCAAAGAGUUGGCCACUGACUUCAUUCUUUCAUUUCUUCCGCCUAGCUAUGGGAACUUCAUCUUGAACUACCAUAUGCAUGGGACGGAGAAGGAUCUGAAUGAACUGUGUGGUAUGCUCAAGACAGCAAAAGUUGACAUUAAGAAAAGCGCUAGUAGCAGCCAUGUGAUGGCUGUACAGAAUAAGCCUACCUUCAAGAAGAAGGGCAAGGCUGGAGUGUCCAAGCCAAACCCAGCCCCCAAGGCUAAAGCUGGACCUGCUCCAGAUAAAGAGUGCUUUUAUUAUCAUAAACCUGGUCACUGGAAGAGAAAUUGCAAGCAGUACCUAGCUUCGUUGUAGAAUGGCGGAAGUAAGAGUACUUUCACCUCAGGUACGCUUGUUGUUAAUAUUAUAGACAACAUAUUUCUCACUGAUACAAUUAUUAAUUCUUGGGUAUUUUAUACCGGAUCGGUUGCUCAUAUUUGCAAUUCGAUGCAGGGAAUGAUAAGAAGUAGAAGCGUUGAGAAGGGAGAAGUUGAUUUCCGUGUGGGCAAUAAUGCAAGAGUUGCUGCAUUGACCGUCGAGACGAUGUAGCUUCACCUCCCAUCAGGAUUUAUCAUGGAAUUGAAUAAAUAUUAGUUUGUUCCUAGUUUAAGUCGAAACAUUAUGUCUCUUUUAUGUUUGAUGAAGGAUGGUUAUUCAUUUGCGAGUGAAAACAAUGGUUGUGUGAUCUCUAAGAAUGAUAUGUUUAUGGCUUUUGCACCCAUUGUGAAUGGAUUGUUUGUUUUAAAUCUUGAUGGUUCACUUGUCUGUAACAUAAAUGCUAAAAGGCCUCGGCCUAAUGAUUUGAGUACUACCUACAUGUGGCAUUGUCGUUUCGGUCAUAUAAGUGAGAAACGCUUGAAGAAGCUCCAUACUGAUGGACUUUUAACUUCGUUUGAUUUUGAAUCAUACGAGACAUGUGAGGCUUGCUUACUAGGCAAGAUGACCAAGGCACCUUUCACAUGUUUUCCUGAGAGAGCAUUAGACUUGUUGGAACUUGUACAUACCGAUGUAUGCGGACCAAUGAGCACGACAGCUAGAGGAGGGUACCAAUACUUCAUAACUUUUAUUAAUGAUUUUAGUAAAUAUGGAUAUGUCUACUUGAUGAGGCACAAGUCAGAAACCUUUGAAAAGUUCAAGGAAUUUCAGAAUGAAGUUGAAAAUCAGUGUGGCAAGAAAAUUAAGGCCUUGUGAUCUGAUCAUGGAGGCGAGUAUUUGAGCCACGAGUUUAGCAAUCAUCUUUAGAGUUGCGGAAUUGUUCCGCAACUUACACUGCCUGGAACACCUCAGAGAAACGGUGUAUCCGAGCGACGUAAUCAAACUUUGUUAGACUUGGUUCGAUCAAUGAUGAGCCAGUCGUACCUACCGUUGUUAUUUUGGGGAUACGCUCUAGAAACAGUAGCUUUCACACUUAAUAGGGUACCAUCUAAAUCUGUAGUUAAGACACCAUAUGAGAUGUGGACUAGAAAAGUUCCUAGUUUGUCUUUUCUGAAGAUUUGGGGAUGUGAAGUGUUUGUCAAGCGACUUCAGUCGGACAAGAUCACACCCAAGUCGGAUAAGUGCAUUUUCGUGGGAUAUCCAAAGGAAACUUUAGGAUAUUAUUUCUACAACCGAUCAGAGGGCAAAGUGUUUGUCGCUCGGAACACGGUUUUCCUAGAGAAAGAGUUUCUCAAAGGAGAAAAUAGUGGAAAGAUAGUGUAUCUUGAAGAAGUUUAAGAUGAGCCGAUCGGGCAAGAAUCAAUGAGUGAUGCUAACGUAGCAGAACAAGUUGAUAUACCCAUGGCAAGAGAAGCACCGCCACAACCACGAAGGUCGGCAAGGCUCCGUGAAAUGCGGGAAAGAUUAUUGUUGGACAAUGAUGAGCCUGCGACAUAUGCAGAAGCAAUGAUGGAUCCAGACUCCGAAAAAUGGCAGAGUGCCAUGCAAUCCGAAAUAGAGUCCAUGGGUGUUAAAGCCAUAGAGUCCAAGUGGAUCUAUAAGAAGAAAAUCGACAUGGAUGGAAAUGUUCACAUCUAUAAAGCAUUACUUGUCACAAAAGGUUUUCGACAAGUUAAAGGAGUUGACUACGAUGAGACCUUCUCACCCGUAGUGAUGCUUAAGUAUAUUCGGAUUAUUCUAGCUAUAGCUGCAUGUUUCGAUUAUGAGAUAUGGCAGAUGGAUGUCAAGACAGCUUUCCUGAAUGGAAACCUAGCUGAGGACGUGUAUAUGAUACAUCCCAAGGGUUUUGUCGAUCCGAAAAAUGCUGGAAAAGUAUGCAAGCUUCAGAGAUCCAUUUAUGAAUUGAAGCAAGCAUCUAGGAGUUGGAACAUUCGUUUUGAUGAAGUGGUCAAAGGUUUGACUUCACCAAGAACGAAGAAGAGUCUUGUGUUUACAAGAAGGUUAGUGGGAGCUCUGUAGUAUCUCUAAUCUUAUAUGUGGAUGACAUAUUGCUGAUUGGAAAUAACAUUCCUAUGCUUGAGUUCGUAAAGACUUCACUGAAAAAUAUUUUUUUGAUGAAGGACUUAGGGGAAGCGGCAUAUAUUCUGGGCAUUAAGAUAUAUAGAUAUAGAUCAAGAAGGCUUAUAGGAUUAAGCCAAGAUACUUACAUUGACAAAGUGUUGAAGCGGUUCAGCAUGGAAGAGGUGAAGAAAGGGUUUGUUGCCUAUGUCACAUGGCAUACAUCUCAGCAAGACUUAGUGUCCUUCGACUGCUGAUGAGCGGGAUCGCAUGAGUAGAGUGCCAUAUGCCUCAGCUAUUGGAUCUAUCAUGUAUGCAAUGAUAAGUACUCGCCCAGAUGUUUCAUAUGCACUAAGUAUGACAAGCAGACACCAGUCUGAUCCAGGUGAGAGUCACUGGGCAGUGGUGAAAAACAUUCUUAAGUACUUGAGAAGGACUAAAGAUAUGUUCGUCAUCUAUGGAGGUGAGGAGGAGCUCGUUGUAACAGGUUACACCGAUGCUAGUUUCCAAACCAACAGAGAUGAUUCAAAGUCACAAUCAGGAUUUGUGUUGACGCUAAAUGGUGGUGCUGUUAGUUGGAAGAGUUCCAAGCAGGAGACGGUGGCCGAUUCUACGACAGAAUCCGAGUACAUCACGGCUUCGGAAGCCGCGAAGGAGGGUGUUUGGAUAAGAAAUUUCCUCAUUGAGCUUGGUGUGUUCCCGAACACGUCCAGCCCAAUGAAUCUCUACUGUGAUAACAAUGGGGCAAUUGCACAAGCAAAGGAGCCAAGUAACCACCAGAAGAACAAAUACAUAAUGUGGCGAUUUCAUCUCAUUCGAGACUUCGUUAACUGGGGUGAUAUCAAGAUAUGCAAAAUAUACACGGAUCUGAACAUUUCUGAUCCGUUGACAAAACCACUCCCGUAGGCUAAGCAUGAUCCGUAUGUAAGAGCUAUGGGUAUUAGGUACCUUCUAGAUUGACUCUAGUGCAAGUGGAAGACUGUUGGAGGUAUUCCCUAGAGGCAAUCAUAGAGAUGAUGAUAUUCCAUUUGUAUCCAUGAUUUGUAUAUUGUGUUCAUUGAAUAUCCAUUAAAGGCUACUUGAAUUGAUUUGCAAUUAUGUGAAUUGUAUGUGAAACUCUUUACUUGUAUGGUUAUUCUAAAGUUGUCCCUAGUCGGAGUUCAUGUGAGGACACACAUGAAUAUUAGACUAGCACAUGUAUUAGUUGAUGACUAUGUUUCACAAGUCAUGGACAUGGAGAUGUUGAACUAAUAAUGUGGACACAUGUGGAGACAUGUGCUAGGACUGACCCAACACGAGAAGUAGUUCUCUCUUUAAACAACAUAUACGCUUUGUCCUUAGACCUGAGAUUGUCGCAUGUAUUCUAGAUGUGGAUCGACCUACUUAGGGGCUAUCAAACGCUACGCCGUAACAGGGUAGUUAUAAAGGUAGAUUUCGGGUUUGUCAAGAAGCAUGUUAUGAGACAUGGUCAAUCAAGAUGGGAUUUGCCCCUCUCUGAUUGAGAGUGAUAUCUCUGGGCCCCUCGAGUGAUCGGAUCCGAAAAUGCAUGGCCAUGCUACGUACGGUUAAGAGUUAACCUACAAAGGGAUUCCGAAUCACAGGAUCGAGAAAGAGCGGUCGGCUUGAAGCUAGACCAAAUAUCGUGAGGCAAAGGGAAUAGUAUGUAUAUUAUGUUGUGAUGGUUCGUCUGAUAUGAUCUUCGUGUGCGUAUAGGAGUUGGCACGUCUUGCUAGAGGCCGCUACCGACUAUUGGGCCGAGUAGGAGUACUCGGGCCAUGUCUAUACGUAUCCGAACCCAUAGGGUCACACACUUAAGGGGAUGGAAGCCCAAUUCGGAUCUGAUCCGAGUUGGAUUAGGUUUAGAAGUACUAAUGGGCCUCGGACCCAGAGGCCCGUCAGGAACCUCUAUAAAUAGAGGGGUGGGGGCGCCCUAGGGUUUACACCUUUUGGCGAAACACACCUGCCGCGCCUCCCACGCCCUCGCCUGUUGCAACUCGCGGAUCUAGCAGUCCGGUUUGCGACACUUCCUCCCUGCACGUGUGGAUACCUUGGAGGUGUUGCGCCUGCAGCACUUGGACGAGCCAUCGACGAGCCGCCGACGAGCCACGACGAGCCGACGACGAGCCGCGGCACCGGAGGCGAUCUUGCUGCACGUGGACGAGCUGCUGAGGAGCUGCUGGACGCGACGUGAUCGACUACGUACGACUACGUUGAUCGACUACGUACGACUACGUGAUCGUCUUCACUGCAUCGACGCAUAUCUACAUCUUCCGCACCAGUAGUGCAUCGAGUGGUAAUCCCGUGAUCCUUAUACGGCAGUUCUUCCUGGUUAUACGCGGUAGAAAUUUUGAUUUGCGCUAGUGUAGCCUACCUCGUAUCCCAACAGUGAUAUCAGAGCCGUAGCUGCUUAGUUUUGGAUUCGGGAUGUGUGCAUAUGGAGAUAUGCGAGUUUUUAGUUUGAUCUAUGUCCUGGUUUCGUGCCCUUGCUGCAAUGGUAGUGUAACGACAUACUCCUACCGGUCGGUUUCCGCCAUCGGAGUUAAGUGAUACACAUAAAUCCAGUUGCAGUGAGCGAAGAUCAAUAUGAUUGGUCGAAUCGAAAUCCAUUGUCAUACGCCAGACGCAUUAGAUGUGCAAUAGUAGAUGAGAUCUACUGCCGGGGUCGGGAUUUUUGCUGUAUGCGUAUGCUUCGGUAAAACAGCCGUAACUUUUCGGUACGAUCUCGGAUCGAGGCGAAUUGUAUAUGAAAAUUGAUCUACAGAAAAAGUUACACAUAAUUACGACUGACUUUGUCAGUUUCGGCGUAAUUAGAUUUCCCAAAUUCGGCCUCUAAGAUGGAGUUUCGGGCCUCUGAAGUUUGGAACGUUAGAACGCCUAACUCUGUUUUGCAGGAUGUAUGUAUCUUGUGAUCAGUAUGGCCCCUCUGUGUAUGUGAUGCAUGUGUGUAACUCAUUCGUGACCUGCGUGUCGCGCGUACGGCAACACGGCAGGAGCCAUAAGUGUUGUCAUAUUAAUGUAUUUAAUGGUCUGCGUACCAAUCUGUGAUGAUCCAAGCAACUAUGUAAUCUUCAUUACUAGCUUCCUUACUAGCUAUUAGGCGUAAUAGCAUGUUCUAGUUCUUGGAGGACUCAUCACCAGAAGGAUGGCGCACAUGGAACAUGGAGAUGGAGAUCACCAUGGUGAACAGAUUCUAUGGAGAUGGAGAUCGCCAUAUGAAAACGGGCCAUACUGUGUCACAACUAUGUGAAUGCUAUUCUGUUUAUGUUUUACUUUCUGCAUGCUGUGAUGUUAGAAGUAGAAUGAUCCCUCACAAAGUUUAAGUUAGUAUGCCCUCCCAACUAAAACUUGCACCGUCCCAUGUCUUGUACAAUUAGUGGUGGGUCUAUGAAAUUAGGGUGCCACUAGUUUUCCUUGACUAGACGGGUUUGUGUCGGACACUUAGGCGCAUAAGGGUUGGUUUGCUUAACAAGGUUAUCUUAACGGUUAAGGACCUUGGGGCAUAAAGGUUGGGCACCGAGACAUAGAGAUGUCACCCAACAACAGGAGUCAUAUGUGAUAUGAUUAGCAAAAGUUGCUUACCGAUCUACCUUGUUUGCUAGCGGUGAUGCUAAAGCUCACUAGUGGACUUGUUAGUUGUGGAUCCUGAAUCACUAAGUUUCAAUAGAGGGAUAUUGAUUUUAGUGGGAGUAGAUUCUGUUAAAAUAGUUUAAUGUGAUUUGCUCUAUCAUGGAUACGUUUGUCUUAGUAUAUUUUACAUUACUUUGUUGUAGAUUAAAUGGCACCUAGCAGCACUACACCGUUUGCUUUGCGUUCGGUCCUUGAGAAGGACAAGUUGAAUGGAACAAAUUACUCGGAUUGGAUCCGUAACCUGAGAAUUGUUCUUAGGGCUGAGAAAAAGGAAGAUGUUCUAGACAACCCACUACCAGAAGAACCUGCUGAUGAUGCACCCGCUGCUGCUAAGAAUGCUUACAAGAAAGCAUGUGAUGCUAACCUCGAAGUAAGCUGCCUUAUGCUUGCUUGCAUGGAACCCGAGCUGCAGAUGCAGUUCGAAACAAACCAUGAGGCGCACGAUAUGAUCGUGGCGCUUAGAGACAUGUUCCAAACACAGGCCAGGACUGAAAGGUUCAAUGUGUCUAAGGCCUUUGUUGAGAGCAAGCUAGCAGAAGGCGCAGCAGUAGGACCACACGUAAUCAAGAUGGUUGGUUACACUAAACGGUUGGAGAAGCUAGGCUUCCCACUGGGCCAAGAGUUGGCCACUGAUUUCAUUCUUUCGUCUCUUCCGCCUAGCUAUGGGAACUUCAUCUCGAACUACCAUAUGCUUGGGACGGAGAAGGGUCUGAAUGAGCUGUGUGGCAUGCUUAAAACAGCAGAGGCUGACAUCAAGAAAAGCGCUAGUACCAGCCAUGUGAUGGCUAUACAGAACAAGCCUAGCUUUAAGAAGAAGGGCAAUUCUUGGAAGAAGAAGGGCAAGGCUGGAACGUCCAAGCCAAACCCACCGCCCAAGGUUAAAGCUGGACCUGGACCUGCUCCAGACAAAGAGUGCUUUUACUGUCAUGAACUUGGUCACUGGAAGAGAAAUUGCAAGCAGUACCUAGCUUCCUUGAAGAAUGGCGGAAGUAAGAGUACUUCUACCUCAGGUACGCUUGUUGUUAAUGUUAUAGACAACAUAUUUCUCGCUGAUACAAUUAUUAAUUCUUGGGUAUUUGAUACCGGAUCGGUUGCUUAUAUUUGCAAUUCGAUGCAGGGAAUGAUAAGAAGUAGAAGCGUGGAAAGAGGAGAAGUUGAUUUCGGCGUGGGCAAUAAUGCAAGAGUUGCUGCGUUGACCGUCGGGACGAUGCAACUCCACCUCCCGUCAGGAUUUAUUAUGGAGUUGAAUAAUUGUUAUUUUGUUCCUAGUUUAAGUCGAAACAUUUUGUCUCCUUCAUGCUUGAUGAAGGAUGGUUGUUCAUUUACGAGUGAAAACAAUGGUUGUGUGAUCUCUAAGAAUAAUAUGUUUAUGGCUUUUGUACCCAUUGUGAAUGGAUUAUUUGUUUUAAAUCUUGAUGGUUCACCUGUCUGUAAUGUAAGUGCUAAAAGGCCUCGGCCUAAUGAUUUGAGUCCUACCUACUUGUGGCAUUGUCGUUUGGGUCAUAUAAGUGAAAAGCGCAUGAAAAAGCUCCAUUCUGAUGGACUUCUAACUUCGUUUGAUUUUGAAUCAUACGAGACAUGUGAGGCUUGCUUGCUAGGCAAGAUGACCAAGACGCCUUUCACAGGAUUUCCUGAGAGAGCAGUAGACUUAUUGGAACUCGUACAUAGUGAUGUAUGCGGACCAAUGAGCACGACGGCUAGAGGAGGAUUCCAAUACUUCAUAACUUUCACUGAUGAUUUUAGUAGAUAUGGCUAUGUCUACUUGAUGAGGCACAAGUCUGAAACCUUUGAAAAGUUCAAGGAAUUUCAGAAUGAAGUUGAAAAUCAGCGUGGCAAGAAAAUUAAGGCCUUACGAUGUGAUCGUGGAGGCGAGUAUUUGAGCCACGAGUUUAGCAAUCAUCUAAAGAGUUGCGGAAUUGUUCCACAACUUACGCCGCCUGGAACACCUCAGAGAAACGGUGUAUCCGAGCGACGUAAUCGAACUUUGUUAGACAUGGUUCGAUCAAUGAUGAGCCAGUCGGACCUACCGUUGUCAUUUUGGGGAUACGCUCUAGAAACAGCAGCUUUCACACUUAAUAGGGUACCAUCUAAAUCCGUAGUUAAGACACCAAAUGAGAUAUGGACUGGAAAGGUUCCUAGUUUGUCUUUUCUAAAGAUUUGGGGAUGUGAAGUGUUUGUCAAGCGACUUCCGUCGGACAAGAUCACACCCAAGUCGGAUAAGUGCAUUUUCGUGGGAUAUCCAAAGGAAACUUUGGGAUAUUAUUUCUACAACCGAUCAGAAGGCAAAGUGUUUGUCGCUCGGAACGGGGUUUUCCUAGAGAAAGAGUUUCUCAAAGGAGAAAAGAGUGGAAAGACAGUGCAUCUUGAAGAAGUUCAAGAUGAGCCGAUCGGGCAAGAAUCAAUGAGUGAUGCUAACGUAGCAGAACAAGUUGAGAUACCCAUGGCAAGAGAAGCACCGCCACAACCACGAAGGUCGGCAAGGCUCCACGAAAUGCGGGAAAUAUUAUUGUUGGACAAUGAUGAGCCUGCGACAUAUGCAGAAGCAAUGAUGGACCCAGACUCCGAAAAAUGGCAGAGUGCCAUGCAAUCCAAAAUAGAGUCCAUGGGAGACAAUCAAGUUUGGAACUUGGUUGACCCGCCUGAUGGUUUUAAAGCCAUAGAGUGCAAGUGGAUCUAUAAGAAGAAAAAGGACAUGGAUGGAAAUGUUCACAUCUAUAAAGCACGACUUGUCGCAAAAGGUUUUCGACAAGUUCAAGGAGUUGACUACGACGAGACCUUCUCGCCCGUAGUGAUGCUUAAGUCCAUUCGGAUUAUUCUAGCUAUAGCUGCAUAUUUCGAUUAUGAGAUAUGGCAGAUGGAUGUCAAGACAGCUUUCCUGAAUGGAAACCUAGCUGAAGACGUGUAUAUGAUACAGCCCGAGGGUUUUGUCGAUCCGAAAAAUGCUGGAAAGGUAUGCAACCUUCAGAGAUCCAUUUAUGGAUUGAAGCAAGCAUCUAGGAGUUGGAACAUUCGUUUUGAUGAAGUGGUCAAAGGGUUUGACUUCACCAAGAACGAAGAAGAGUCUUGUGUUUACAAGAAGGUUAGUGGGAGCUCUGUAGUAUUUCUAAUCUUAUAUGUGGAUGACAUAUUACUGAUUGGAAAUAACAUUCCUAUGCUUGAGUCCGUAAAGACUUCACUGAAAAAUAGUUUUUCGAUGAAGGACUUAGGGGAAGCGGCAUAUAUUCUGGGCAUUAAGAUAUGUUCCUCGUCUAUGGAGGUGAGGAAGAGCUCGUUGUAACAGGUUACACCGAUGCUAGUUUCCAAACCGACAGAGAUGAUUCAAAGUCACAAUCAGGAUUUGUGUUCACGCUAAAUGGUGGUGCUGUUAGUUGGAAGAGUUCCAAGCAGGAGACGGUGGCCGAUUCUACGACAGAAGCCGAGUACAUCGCGGCUUCGGAAGCCGCGAAGGAAGGUGUUUGGAUAAGGAAUUUCCUCAUUGAGCUUGGUGUGUUCCCGAAUGCGUCCAGCCCAUUGAAUCUCUACUGUGAUAAUAAUGAGGCAAUUGCGCAAGCAAAGGAGCCAAGGAACCACCAGAAGAACAAACACGUAAUGCGGCGAUUUCAUCUCAUUCGAGACUUCGUUAACCGGGGUGAGAUCAAGAUAUGCAAAAUACACACGGAUCUGAACAUUUCUGAUCCGUUGACAAAACCACUCCCGCAGGCUAAGCAUGAUGCGCAUGUAAGAGCUAUGGGUAUUAGGUACCUUCUAGAUUGACUCUAGUGCAAGUGGGAGACUGUUGGAGGUAUGCUCUAGAGGCAAUCAUAAAGAUGAUGAUAUUCCAUUUGUAUCCAUGAUUUGUAUAUUGUGUUCAUUGAAUAUCCAUUAAAGGCUACUUGAAUUGAUUUGCAAUUAUGUGAAUUGUUUGUGACACUCUUUACUUGUAUGGUUAUUCUAAAGUUGUCCCUAGUCGGAGUUCAUGUGAGGACACACAUGAAUAUUAGACUAGCACAUGUAUUAGUUGAUGACUAUGUUUCACAAGUCAUGGACAUGGAGAUGUUGAACUAAUAAUGUGGACACAUGUGGAGACAUGUGCUAGGACUGACCCAACACGAGAAGUAGUUCUCUCUUUAAACAACAUAUACGCUUUGUCCUUAGACCUGAGAUUGUCGCAUGUAUUCUAGAUGUGGAUCGACCUACUUAGGGGCUAUCAAACGCUACGCCGUAACAGGGUAGUUAUAAAGGUAGCUUUCGGGUUUGUCAAGAAGCAUGCUAUGAGACAUGGUCAAUCAAGAUGGGAUUUGCCCCUCUCUAAUUCAGAGUGAUAUCUCUGGG
RNAcentral lists this long non-coding RNA (13550 nucleotides) under Setaria viridis. RNAcentral's name for it is "long non-coding RNA (SVIR_LNC000878)". Lineage: Eukaryota; Viridiplantae; Streptophyta; Magnoliopsida; Poales; Poaceae. The record is from RNAcentral.